RNAcentral lists this non-coding RNA (46 nucleotides) under Candidatus Koribacter versatilis Ellin345. RNAcentral's name for it is "Acido-Lenti-1 RNA". It matches the Rfam family "Acido-Lenti-1 RNA". Lineage: Bacteria; Pseudomonadati; Acidobacteriota; Terriglobia; Terriglobales; Candidatus Korobacteraceae. The record is from Rfam by way of RNAcentral.
CCCUCCACUCACGUGGCGGGCUAUUUCAUUGCGUCGCUACGCGACU